CACAAAAUUAUGCUAUUGGUAAAUUUAAAAGUUAGAGACCCAAUACUAUGCCAUUUAUAUAACAUGUGAAGAAUGCCAGAGGCUGAGAUGUCUUGUCAGCACAUCCAGUACUGAUUAUGUAACUUAGAUUAAAUCCUUUUACCUGUUAAGGGUCCCAAUUUCUUUUCUUCUGCAAGGUGGUAUUAAUAAUAUCACCUUAUCUCCUUCAAAAACUUUUUGUAAAAGAGCUCAAGCAGCAGUGGGAUAUGAUGGAAGAUUUAUAUUAUUAAUUUUUUACUAGCAUAGAGAAUUACCCAAAUAUUUUAAAUUUCAAUAAUAUAAAAACAAUUCUGUAGUUUUGAUAAUCUAUUCUUAUAUAUUUCAUUCUCAAUGAUGAUAUAUAAGAUAGAUCUAGAAGAUUAAGUCACAGGAUACACAGGAAAACUUGAUUUAAAAAUAUCUAAUGUAUGAGCCAAUUUUCUUAAGCCAUUUACAUAUCUUGCUGAAAAAUAGAAUGCUGGAAAGGGCUCAGAUAAAGGAUUUAGGUAAGGAAAUCCAAACAAGAGUUACUAUUUGAAGAUCUUUUAUUAUGAAUCAGGAACUUUACAAAUAUUGCUUGCCAUUUGACAAAUAACCCAGAAAGAUAAGAAAUAUUAUCUCAACUUCACACAGAAGGAAAUUGAGAUUAGAAAGAUUAAAUCAUGUGCCAAAUUUAUAUAGCUAGUUAAUCACUGACCUGGGAUUCAGCUCCUCUCCAGCUC
RNAcentral lists this long non-coding RNA (740 nucleotides) under Homo sapiens (human). RNAcentral's name for it is "HSALNT0179570". Lineage: Eukaryota; Metazoa; Chordata; Mammalia; Primates; Hominidae. The record is from RNAcentral.